GUAGGGUGCGAGCGUUGUCCGGAAUUAUUGGGCGUAAAGAGCUCGUAGGCGGUUUGUCGCGUCGGCCGUGAAAACUUGGGGCUUAACUCCAAGCUUGCGGUCGAUACGGGCAGACUUGAGUUCGGCAGGGGAGACUGGAAUUCCUGGUGUAGCGGUGAAAUGCGCAGAUAUCAGGAGGAACACCGGUGGCGAAGGCGGGUCUCUGGGCCGAUACUGACGCUGAGGAGCGAAAGCGUGGGGAGCGAACAGGAUUAGAUACCCUGGUAGUCCACGCCGUAAACGGUGGGUGCUAGGUGUGGGGGGCUUCCACGCCCUCUGUGCCGCAGCUAACGCAUUAAGCACCCCGCCUGGGGAGUACGGCCGCAAGGCUA
This 371-nucleotide ribosomal RNA is filed under the name uncultured bacterium. RNAcentral's name for it is "bacterial SSU rRNA". It matches the Rfam family "Bacterial small subunit ribosomal RNA", at positions 527 to 896 of the family's 1533-position model. The record is from RNAcentral.